AAGGCUUUAAGUUAAACCAAACUAAUAUCCUUCAAAGCUAUAAAUAAAGAGAGUCUCUUUAAGCCUUA
This 68-nucleotide transfer RNA is filed under the name Anacanthotermes sp. RNAcentral describes it as "tRNA-Trp". The record is from RNAcentral. Lineage: Eukaryota; Metazoa; Arthropoda; Insecta; Blattodea; Hodotermitidae.